CCCUCAGGAACAGACUGUUGCCGUGGCUGCUCAUCGCGUUUCUGCCGAGGAAAGAGGAGACCAGGUCUGGUGAGGGAGGAGUCCGGGAAAGGAGUGGGUUUUUCGAGACAGGGUUUCUCUGUGCAGCUUUGCGCCUUUCCUGGAUCUCGCUCAUCUAGACCAGGCCAGCCUCGAACUCACAAAGAUCCGCCUGCCUCUGCCUCCCAAGUGCUGGGAUUAAAGGCGUGCGCCACCACUGCCCGGCGCUUGCUGUUCUUUGAAAGGACGGCAGGUCGGGUGGCUCAGAGCCAGAGGGUCCAACUCUUUCUUCUGUCUCUGAAGUCACCUGAACUCAAGUGCACAUAGCUACACGUGAAUACACAUAAUUAAAAAGAUAAAAAUAA
Molecule: long non-coding RNA, 383 nt
Organism: Peromyscus californicus insignis
Lineage: Eukaryota; Metazoa; Chordata; Mammalia; Rodentia; Cricetidae
Exons: 2
Source: RefSeq, a predicted model, not a curated record